GUAAUCCUGUCAAAAGUAAUCCUUGAUGAAAUGAUGAAAAUAUUGUAAUAAUCAAAAUGAAAGAAUAUUGUUUGUUGGGCGAACAUAUUAUUUCUAAUGCUAUUACUCAUGAGGGUACAAUUCAUGAGACGAGCCUAGGGCCCAAAAGAUUAUUAUAUUUAGAGCAAUCAAAAAAUUAUCAAACAAAAAGCAUGUGUAGAUGUAAUCCCUGUAUUAGUAGAGGAAAUGUGAACUGGGCAACAUACAUUUCAAGAAUAAGCUGACAUAUUUAUAUUGAAGGGCUUUCUCUUCGUGAAAUUUCUAAAUUGGACAAGUAUCCACCAAAUGGUAAAUGGUUUCUUCAUUAUUGCAACGACUAUGACCAGUCCUGAAUCGAUUUGAAAUACAUCAAAUUUUCCUAGAUAGAUUGAAACCUAGAACUUUCUCUGAAGGAUCAAGGAUUAGACUUUCGAUGAAGACAUUAUAAGAACUCCAUUCUGAACGUCAAAUUUCCUUGUAACUUUCAUUAGAUUGUAGGAAGGUAUUAAUCUAUGAAAGUUUACGUGACCCUAAUCUGGUAGUUCUAGUAUCUGAGAGGUAAGAUACAAUUGGAAAUAAGUUCGGGUAGAAAUGAAAAUUUUCCAAAGAUUUCUCGCCUAAGACCUGUCUACGAGUAUGAGGCGGAAGUAUAUGUGGCAGCACUGUUAACCAAUGUAAAGGUGUAGAUCUAAGAGUUCCACUGAUAAUUCUCAGAGAAACAUUAAGCUGUGCAUCAAUUUCAUGAUUAUGAGGCAUGAGCACUAUUGAACCAAACAGAACAACAGUAUUCAGCAGCAGAAUAAACCAAGACCAAAGCUGCCGUACGAAAAGUGCUGGCAUCAACAUCUCAUGAAGAACAUAGUGUAAUACGAUAUACUGAGGUUGUGUACAACCUUCUUUAUAUUGAGACGUCUCCUUCAGAAAAAGAAGAUUAAAUCGAUUGAGUGCA
Long non-coding RNA from Harmonia axyridis, 967 nucleotides. RefSeq lists it as uncharacterized. The transcript has 2 exons. The record is from RefSeq and is a predicted model, not a curated record. NCBI's taxonomy places the organism in Eukaryota, Metazoa, Arthropoda, Insecta, Coleoptera, Coccinellidae.